CCUACGGGAGGCAGCAGUGGGGAAUAUUGCACAAUGAGGGAAACCCUGAUGCAGCGACGCCGCGUGAGUGCAGAAGUAUUUAGGUAUGUAAAGCUCAAUCAGCAGGGAAGAAAAUGAAGGUACCUGAUUAAGAAGCCCCGGCUAACUACGUGCCAGCAGCAGCGGUAAUACGUGGGGGGAAAGCGUUAUACGGAUUUACUGGGGGUAAAGGGAGCGUAGACGGCAGCGCAAGUCUGAAGUGAAAUGCCGGGGCUUAACCCCGGAACUGCUUUGGAAACUGUGCAGCUAGAGUGCAGGAGAGGUAAGUGGAAUUCCUAGUGUAGCGGUGAAAUGCGUAGAUAUUAGGAGGAACACCAGUGGCGAAGGCGGCUUACUGGACUGUAACUGACGUUGAGGCUCGAAAGCGUGGGGAGCAAACAGGAUUAGAUACCCGUGUAGUC
This 440-nucleotide ribosomal RNA is filed under the name uncultured bacterium. Its description in RNAcentral is "partial 16S ribosomal RNA". It matches the Rfam family "Bacterial small subunit ribosomal RNA", at positions 338 to 795 of the family's 1533-position model. The record is from RNAcentral.